Camelus dromedarius (Arabian camel) is the source of this 214-nucleotide small nucleolar RNA. Its record names the gene U3. It matches the Rfam family "Small nucleolar RNA U3". Rfam says of the family: Small nucleolar RNAs (snoRNAs) are involved in the processing and modification of rRNA in the nucleolus. There are two main classes of snoRNAs: the box C/D class, and the box H/ACA class. NCBI's taxonomy places the organism in Eukaryota, Metazoa, Chordata, Mammalia, Artiodactyla, Camelidae. The record is from Ensembl.
AAGAAUAUACUUUCAGGGAUCAUUUCUAUAGUUUGUUACUAGAGAAGUUUCUCCAAAUGUGUAGAGCACCCAAAACCACAGGAAGAGGCGCAGUGUUCUCUCCUGAGCAUGAAGCUGGUUCUUGGUGUCGCUUGUGUGACUGCCAUUUGCCACUGAUGAUCGUUCUUCUCUUCCUUUGGUGAGAGUAAGAGGGAGAGGACGCCAUCUGAGUGGU